Molecule: ribosomal RNA, 253 nt
Filed under: uncultured bacterium
Lineage: Bacteria
Description: partial 16S ribosomal RNA
Rfam family: Bacterial small subunit ribosomal RNA
Source: RNAcentral
UACGUAGGGGGCUAGCGUUGUCCGGAAUCAUUGGGCGUAAAGCGCGUGUAGGCGGUUCGGUAAGUCUGCUGUGAAAGUCCAGGGCUCAACCCUGGGAUGCCGGUGGAUACUGUCGGACUAGAGUACGGAAGAGGCGAGUGGAAUUCCCGGUGUAGCGGUGAAAUGCGCAGAUAUCGGGAGGAACACCAAUUGCGAAGGCAGCUCGCUGGGACGUUACUGACGCUGAGACGCGAAAGCGUGGGGAGCAAACAGG